This 429-nucleotide ribosomal RNA is filed under the name Pseudomonadota bacterium. Its description in RNAcentral is "Proteobacteria bacterium partial 16S ribosomal RNA". It matches the Rfam family "Bacterial small subunit ribosomal RNA", at positions 355 to 776 of the family's 1533-position model. The record is from RNAcentral. Lineage: Bacteria; Pseudomonadati; Pseudomonadota.
UGGGGAAUAUUGGACAAUGGGCGAAAGCCCGAUCCAGCCAUGCCGCGUGUGUGAAGAAGGUCUUCGGAUUGUAAAGCACUUUAAGUUGGGAGGAAGGGCAGUAAGCGAAUACCUUGCUGUUUUGACGUUACCGACAGAAUAAGCACCGGCUAACUCUGUGCCAGCAGCCGCGGUAAUACAGAGGGUGCAAGCGUUAAUCGGAAUUACUGGGCGUAAAGCGCGCGUAGGUGGUUCGUUAAGUUGAAUGUGAAAGCCCCGGGCUCAACCUGGGAACUGCAUCCAAAACUGGCGAGCUAGAGUAGGGCAGAGGGGGGUGGAAUUUCCUGUGUAGCGGUGAAAUGCGUAGAUAUAGGAAGGAACACCAGUGGCGAAGGCGACCACCUGGGCUCAUACUGACACUGAGGUGCGAAAGCGUGGGGAGCAAACAGG